GUGGGUAGUUUGACUGGGGCGGUCUCCUCCUAAAGAGUAACGGAGGAGCACGAAGGUUGGCUAAUCCUGGUCGGACAUCAGGAGGUUAGUGCAAUGGCAUAAGCCAGCUUGACUGCGAGCGUGACGGCGCGAGCAGGUGCGAAAGCAGGUCAUAGUGAUCCGGUGGUUCUGAAUGGAAGGGCCAUCGCUCAACGGAUAAAAGGUACUCCGGGGAUAACAGGCUGAUACCGCCCAAGAGUUCAUAUCGACGGCGGUGUUUGGCACCUCGAUGUCGGCUCAUCACAUCCUGGGGCUGAAGUAGGUCCCAAGGGUAUGGCUGUUCGCCAUUUAAAGUGGUACGCGAGCUGGGUUUAGAACGUCGUGAGACAGUUCGGUCCCUAUCUGCCGUGGGCGCUGGAGAACUGAGGGGGGCUGCUCCUAGUACGAGAGGACCGGAGUGGACGCAUCACUGGUGUUCGGGUUGUCAUGCCAAUGGCACUGCCCGGUAGCUAAAUGCGGAAGAGAUAAGUGCUGAAAGCAUCUAAGCACGAAACUUGCCCCGAGAUGAGUUCUCCCUGAGACUUAAAGUCUCCUGAAGGAACGUUGAAGACGACGACGUUGAUAGGCCGGGUGUGUAAGCGCAGCGAUGCGUUGAGCUAACCGGUACUAAUGAACCGUGAGGCUUAACCUUAC
RNAcentral lists this ribosomal RNA (672 nucleotides) under Salmonella enterica subsp. enterica serovar Saphra. RNAcentral's name for it is "partial 23S ribosomal RNA". It matches the Rfam family "Bacterial large subunit ribosomal RNA", at positions 2261 to 2925 of the family's 2925-position model. The record is from RNAcentral. Lineage: Bacteria; Pseudomonadati; Pseudomonadota; Gammaproteobacteria; Enterobacterales; Enterobacteriaceae.